RNAcentral lists this ribosomal RNA (1010 nucleotides) under Bacillus licheniformis. RNAcentral describes it as "bacterial SSU rRNA". It matches the Rfam family "Bacterial small subunit ribosomal RNA", at positions 56 to 1040 of the family's 1533-position model. Lineage: Bacteria; Bacillati; Bacillota; Bacilli; Caryophanales; Bacillaceae. The record is from RNAcentral.
UGUCGAGUCUGAGCGGACCGACGCGGAGCUUGCUCCCUUAGGUCAGCGGCGGACGGGUGAGUAACACGUGGGUAACCUGCCUGUAAGACUGGGAUAACUCCGGGAAACCGGGGCUAAUACCGGAUGCUUGAUUGAACCGCAUGGUUCAAUCAUAAAAGGUGGCUUUUAGCUACCACUUGCAGAUGGACCCGCGGCGCAUUAGCUAGUUGGUGAGGUAACGGCUCACCAAGGCGACGAUGCGUAGCCGACCUGAGAGGGUGAUCGGCCACACUGGGACUGAGACACGGCCCAGACUCCUACGGGAGGCAGCAGUAGGGAAUCUUCCGCAAUGGACGAAAGUCUGACGGAGCAACGCCGCGUGAGUGAUGAAGGUUUUCGGAUCGUAAAACUCUGUUGUUAGGGAAGAACAAGUACCGUUCGAAUAGGGCGGCACCUUGACGGUACCUAACCAGAAAGCCACGGCUAACUACGUGCCAGCAGCCGCGGUAAUACGUAGGUGGCAAGCGUUGUCCGGAAUUAUUGGGCGUAAAGCGCGCGCAGGCGGUUUCUUAAGUCUGAUGUGAAAGCCCCCGGCUCAACCGGGGAGGGUCAUUGGAAACUGGGGAACUUGAGUGCAGAAGAGGAGAGUGGAAUUCCACGUGUAGCGGUGAAAUGCGUAGAGAUGUGGAGGAACACCAGUGGCGAAGGCGACUCUCUGGUCUGUAACUGACGCUGAGGCGCGAAAGCGUGGGGAGCGAANCUGGAUUAGAUACCCUGGUAGUCCACGCCGUAAACGAUGAGUGCUAAGUGUUAGAGGGUUUCCGCCCUUUAGUGCUGCAGCAAACGCAUUAAGCACUCCGCCUGGGGAGUACGGUCGCAAGACUGAAACUCAAAGGAAUUGACGGGGGCCCGCACAAGCGGUGGAGCAUGUGGUUUAAUUCGAAGCAACGCGAGAACCUUACCAGGUCUUGACAUCCUCUGACCAACCCUAGAGAUAGGGCUUCCCCUUUCGGGGGCAGAGGUGACAAGUG